UACGUAGGCGGAAAAUUAAGUCAGUGGUGAAAUCCUGCGGCUCAACCGUAGAACUGCCAUUGAUACUGAUAUUCUUGAAUGUAGUUGAGGUAGGCGGAAUGUGUAAUGUAGCGGUGAAAUGCUUAGAUAUUACACAGAACACCGAUUGCGAAGGCAGCUUACUAAACUAUGAUUGACGCUGAGGCACGAAAGCGUGGGGAGCGAACAGGAUUAGAUACCCUGGUAGUCC
RNAcentral lists this ribosomal RNA (229 nucleotides) under uncultured bacterium. Its description in RNAcentral is "partial 16S ribosomal RNA". It matches the Rfam family "Bacterial small subunit ribosomal RNA", at positions 568 to 796 of the family's 1533-position model. The record is from RNAcentral.